AUCCAAGGUCUUCUACUCUUCUUAGCAAAAGCUCUCACAGAAGCUUUCAUCUUUUGAUUGGAAUUUGUUGAAUUGCCAUUGAUUAACUCAUCCCUUUUAGUGUCCAAUGCAAGCAACAGAAUCUUAGGUUAAAGCCAGGGCAACAAAGAAAAGAAGAUGGAUAGUCUUUCUGAUUAUCAUUUUCUGCAGGUAGAGGGCACUCACAUAUAACUUCCCAUUUAUCAUCAUCGCGAAUGGAACAACUCCUUGGAUGAGAAAUAUAGCUACUAUUCUACACAAAUUUCCAACCACAAUUGAACUUAUUGGGUCACAAGCUGGAUUUCCUAGUCAUAUGUACAACGAUUGGCGAUGCUCCUACAAUAAUAAGACCAGUAGCUGCAGUGCCAUCCUCUGUCAUGACUGCAACAGAUGUGGGAUCAGGACCACACUAAGCAUAAUCUCUCACUUUCAUUCCCUCUGCAGCUGCUCUUGGCAACAUGAUUUCCCAUUUUCUUCCAUUGGGCUCUAGGAUAAUCCAAUCACACAUCUCUUAAGAGUGUAAAUCACAUGGACAAGCUAGGUACUGUUUUUUGACAACCUGAUUGUCAUCAAGGGAGUACCUCAUGCCUUUUCGGCUUGAAUGUACACAUUAUUUGCAAGACACCUUUUCCACUUACUUUCCAAUGAAAAUUGCAUGCCUAACUACUGAGGACCAAGGAAGCUAGAGCUCACAUUAGAAUCAUUGAAUAUAGGAAAAGGUUUCAAACUCAAAGACAAGGCACUCUGCAAAUUGUUAUCAACCCAACCAAAUUCUUGCUUUGUACUGUCCAUGAAGUGUGAAGGUUGUAUUAGGAUGGAGCUCUUAAAAACAUGACAUGAUGUAAUAGAUUCGAAAUUCCUUAUUUAUUUAAUGAUAUUCCAAUUUCACUUUUAUCUAUCCUUAUUCCAUGUAUUACACUUUAUGAGUAUUCUUGUUUCUUUUGCAGUAUAUGUAACUUGAGUGCAUUUAUGAGUUAUAGGGAAGAUCCAAGUCAUGGGUUCCUUGCAAAUAGAUGACUUGUUCAAAAUCGGUUUGUGGGUUUAGAUAACUUAUUAGAGACUAUAGUGCGCCACCACCUUCUAAUUGAGGGAUAACUGGUCUUUAAUAUCGAGAUGAGUUUUCCAUGGUGAGUACACUAGUGUGUAUGGUUACACAUUGGACAGGACUUAUGGUGAGUCAUGACUUAAGGUUAUUAAGUAUUUGUGACCUUAUCAAACUACUUCAUUGUGUUGUCUCUCAACCUUGAGAGAAUAUUGAGUUUGUGCCAAAGUUAGCAAUGACUUUGACCUAUGGGUGAGAUCGUAAGUUGAUAAUAUAUUCUUUAUGGAUUGGAUCACUAUUGAUGGAAGUUGGUGGCAAUAGGUAUUCUGAAUAGAAGCACCAUGAUAUCUCAUAGGAUUGAGACAAUGUGUCCCCUUAGGUGGUUCUAAGGAGGUGUGUUCAUGGAAACUAUGGUUAUUUUAGUUUCUUAAGUAGAACUUGACAUAAACUCUUUGAGAGUUAAGACAUGUUAGUCGAACACAUAAUGAAAGGAUCUGUAACUCAAUGAUAAUAGAGGUAGUCUUAAAAGACUGACAAUUUUUACCUUGUUAGAUUACGAACAUUAGUUCAUAGGGAGACUGAACACAAUUGAUAACAAGUCACAAACCCGAGUACACAAUGUCUCGUUGUUAUUUACAUAAGAUAUUGGAGUUAUGGUCCCCGGUUUGAGCUCAUAUAUCUUGUUGGCAUAGGUUAUGAGGGUGUGAUUGGUUUUAGGUUCACUUUUAUACAUAAGGGUCUUUUGGUAAUUACAUAAGAUUGUACAAGGAUAAGUGAACAAGGUCUUUGGAUUAAGCUAAUUAAUUAAUUAAUUAAUACUAUUAGGUUAAUUAAUCAAUUAGGAUACAAUUUGAGAUAGAUUAAUUAACCAAAGCCCAUGUGAGCUUAACUCACUUAAGCCUAGUUAGGAACCCUAUAAAUACCCAUAGGGGUUAGGGUUUCUAUCACUUGUAUCUUCCACCAUCAUCCAGAGAGAAAAAUGAGACAUAGUCUAUUGGUUGAUACUUCUAUAUUCUAAAAAGUCAAGCCACUCCACUUCUCUUGUAUUCUAGUACCGCUAUUGGAAACUUCAACAACAACAGACUAUAGAAGAGCACCCUAGCUCCCAUUAUUAAUAGAAUGAAAUGUGUUCAUGUAACUUGCAUGUUCCCAUGCAUUACCAAAGCUCCAAUGCCAUGUCAAUGCACUUGCAAAAAUAAGAAUCCCAAUUAUCAUCCAUAUCGAACAUAAUCUUCUCUUCUAUUGGAUCUAGGGUGGACAAACUUGGAGAAGGGUCCAUUUGUAUUGCCUUUUUCUUAUGAGUACCCAAGCUAACCUGGUCACUCUUGUUUCCUAUUGAAUUCCCGACCUUACAUUUCUUUGUAAAGCCUUUCCUAAUGGGAGUUUUAUGAUAGAACCCUACUAUUAAAAUCUUGAAUGGGAAUUUGGCCAAAGAAGUUCCUCCCCUAAAAUCCUUGCUCUGCUAUGAAAAUAACAUCUGACGUGUGAUCUUGCUCCUGAGGUGCAAUGUCUAGAAAGGCAUUACUGUAACUAGAUGGUAGCAUUGGAGGCUUCUCGUGCACUAGCAACAGGAGUAUCAUACAAAAAUGCAUCAAGCUGUUGCAGACCCAGACCCAGACCCAUUGAGUCGUUCUAUGACGACCCGUUGCUGAUUGGAACUUGCUAACUUGUUUUCUCAAACAUCCACGAUUGCUCUAGUGUUCUUUGUCUCGUGGAAAUGAAUACUCAAAUGGUGCCCAAAUUACAAACGAGAAUAUAGAAGAAAAAAAAAACAAGAGGUCUCCAAAGCUCCAUUUCACACUUUCUCAAUGGGCAUAAAGGAAACCGGUGGAGAACCUAAAGAAUAGAUGAACCCAGAUUUAUGCAUAUUUUGAUACAAAACCACAUAAACAAUAGAUGAAAUAGUAUAUCCAUACAUAAAUUAGAAAACAAUAUUCAAUAAAAUGAAAAUGAAACACAUUAUUAUAAAUGAAGAUGAAUAGGGAACUCAAAAUAUCCAUCCCUGGAAGGGUCCCCUCUGCUUCUCUUCUCUUGAUGCUAUUCUCAUAGUUCAAAGUCACGAAAUCGGUGAUUGACUCGGGAGGUCCUAAGGCACAUCGUUCUCGGUAUCUCGGAUCGGUAUCGGGUGAUAUGCAAAAAAUUCUAAUUUAAGAGCUCAAAAUAAUUUUUAAAAAUUAUGAAAAUUAUUAAAAAAUCAAAUACAAAUAAGUAGAGUAAAAAAUUAAUAAAAUAAACUUCUAUUAUAUUAAAAUUAUUCAAAUUAUAAUAAAAACAUACUUUUGGGAUGAUUUAUAAUAAUAUUAAAAAUCUCUAAAAAUAUUUUAAUUUAAUCACUUGAUAAUAAAUGUUUCUAUUGAAGAUGCAAAUAAUAAAAAGUAAAUUUUUUUUUUAUAAAAAAUUGUUUAAAUUAAAUAUUUUGAAUUUUUAAAAAUAUUUUCAAUUAUUAAAAAAAAUAAAACCAUGAUUCAUCUUUAAAAAAAUAAAUAUAUUUUUUCUUAUAAAAUAUAUUCAUUAAUUUUAAUUUUUAUAUAAAUAUUCAUUUCCUAUUUAUUUGAUAUAAGUCUAAUAUUCAUUAUUCAUUUUUUAUCAUUAUAAUUUUCAUCAAAUUAUUUAAAACCCAAAUCCCCACCAAAUACUCAUUAUCUACUUAAAAAACAAAUACAUAUUUAAAACCCAAUUUCUCAUCUCUGUUAGAUACCCAUAACCCCCAUCCACCCGUCAAACACUUAUCUCUCUCAAGAUACCCAUUUCUCCUCUAAACCCACAACUCCCUAUUUCUCUGCAAAAUACCACAACUUCUUGUUUCUCUGCAUAAUACCCAUUUUUGAAGAGUUUUUAGACCAAAUACAAAAUAUCUUUAUGAAGAUACAAAAAUAUGAAGAUGUUCUAACUCUUUAUAUUUUUCAUUUUCGUGGGUUUUGAUCCUCUCAUCUUCUUCACAAUUUCUACUCCAAUAUUACUUUUUUUUCCAUUACCAAUUACCCAAAUAGCUUAGUCUCAACAUGAUUUUGGAGUUGUCUCAAAGUUUUCAUAAGAGUUACUUUGAGAUUGUUCAUUUAUCUUCAAUUCAACCGAAUUUAUUCACAAGCUGACAAAAUAUCCAACUCUGGUAUUGGCCUAGUAUUGACCAUGGUCGAGGCGGAUACAACUUGGCCGAGUUGUACUGGCCUCAAUCGAGAUUUUGAACCCUACCAACAAGCCCCCUCCAAGAAAACUUGAGCCAAAAGAGUGAAAAAGGCCCCUUCACUAAAGGCGAAAAAGCCUUUAAAAGAAACAAAGGAAGGCUAGAAUGAGUGUACACGUGUCCUCAUCCCAACCCAGCUACUCAAAGGCUCUAAAAUUCCAAAAACAAACCUUAAAAAAAACUAAUCCUAAUGAGCAUCCGGUAAUCCUGCUAGGACCUGAAAUAGCCCUUUAAGUGGCCUCCAAAAUAUAACUCAAAAAUCAAUAAUGAGAAACAUGGACCACUAAGGGAUGAUGAAAAACCGAGCAAAAAUGGAUUUAAACACAUGCUAAAAAAAGAGUGGGGUGAGAGAAAAAAUAAUAAUAAUAAAAUAUGUGUGUUAGGGCCAAAAUAGAGGGUCUAUAGUGUUUUUGCUAAAUAAUAAAAACCUAUUUGAGCAUAUGAUUUACAAACAAAUUUGUUUUUAAAAAAAUUGUAUCACUCUUUGAUUAUUGUGCUCUAUAAACAAAACAAAACAAAAACCAUUUUUUUUUACUAGAGAUUCAAAUUAAGGAAGACUUUUUAUUAAAUUUAUUAAUAAGUUUAAUAAUUUUUUAAAAGAAAAUUUGAAACUCAAAAAAUAUAUAUAAGGAUUAUAAAAAAUAAUGGAAAUAAUUAAUAUUUUGAAUUCUUUAAUAAACAUUUUAAUUUUUAAUAAUAAUUUGAAAUUCAUAAAACUAAUUUAUUAAUUAUAAAUUAAAUAAAAAAUUUAAGAAUACCAUGUUUGAGUAUUAAAUGUAUGUAUGUAAUGAAAAAUUUGACUCAUUUAUACUUAAAAAAUUAAAAUUUAUUUAAUUUUAAAUUCAUUUAAAAUAAAUUAGUAUUAGCAAUUAUUAAUUUUGAAUUAUUAUUAUUAUUAUUUAUUAACAAAAUAAAUCAAUUAUGUUUUCAUAUUUUUAUAAUAUUUAUAAAAAUAUAAUUUGUGAUUUUAUUAUAAUAUUACUAUUAAUAUUUUAUUUAAAAUAUUUAUUUUUAAUUUUUUAAUAAAAAAUAUUUUUUAUUUUUAAUAAGGCACAAAUUAAAUUUAGUUUAUAUCAUAUAACUUGAAUUUACAAUUUGUUUCUUAUAAAAUCAAAAUAAAAAAUUAUUUUUAAAAACAACUUAUCAAUAAAAGGUUUAGAUUUUAAAAUUUUUGAAAAAUAUCUUUAAAAAUAAAUUGUAUUAUAGAAUCAAAGUACCUCCUACUAAGUAUAAGAUGAAAUAUCAUUUAUAAGUAAAAUUUCAUUUCCUUUGAAAUUAUUUUUAUAUCAUUAUCAUCAACACUUGAGUUAUCUAAAUAUAGAAAUGAAUGUGAAAAGGAAUAACAUAUCUAUUCUCACUCUUCAUUCCCACAUAUCAAACAUAACCUCAAGAUAUGACCAUUUAGUUUUGUUUACAUCAUUUUCUUUAAAAGAGAAAAUAAAAAUAAAUAAAUAAAAAAAUUAAAAAAAUGGAUCCUAGUUUGUAGGUACUUGAAAUAAAGAUGGAUUUUAGUCUCAAAUUAAUAUAAAAUAUAUAUUUUAACAAUUAGAUUUUAAACAUCUUUUAAGUGUGUGAUAAUAAAGCGUUUAAUGGAACUAGCACGCAUGAAUGGUAGUUAUUUCAUAUAAAAUAAUGCAAAACAUGCCUUUAUUAUUAUUAUUAUUAUUAUUUUUAAUUUCUUGUGUCUUUUUUUUUCACCAACAAAUAUUUAAGAAAAGAAAUUCUUUUUCUUUUGACCUUUUCUACCCACACAACAUUUCCUUGGAUAAAUAUUAAUAAAAUAUUGUUUUAUAUUAAUAUUAAGAUAAUAGAAAACAAUAUUUACAAAUUAUAGAUGUAAAUUGUUCUAUUGUGCAUUGCAAUAUUAUAUUUUUAUUUUCUUGGGGUGAAAUAGGAAGUUUCUUUUUUUGACAAUAAUUUUUAUUUUUCUCUAAACAAUUAUGUCCAUAUAAAAUAAUUUUGUGAAAAAUCACAAUAAGGAAUAAAUGAUUUAAAAAUGUAUACAAUUCUAACCAAUUUCAAUUAUAUUUAUUUAUUUUUUUCAUAUUUUUCACAAUGAAACCAAACAUGAUAAAGCCAUUUUUCUUGAUAUUUUUUUUAUUUUUUCCUUGGUACUUUUGGGGAACCAAACAUAAGUUUAAUGCUUUAGGAGGUGAAAAAAAAAAUUGUAGCGCAAUCCACAAUUAACUAGGAUAUAUACUUGUUCCCAUGUGCUUGGUACAAGGCACCAAGUAUAAUUAUAUGAAAUCCUCAAUCUACUGCAUAAGAUUCAAUUUUAUAAAGUUCUUGCUACUGAUAUAGGUAAACAACAAUUUAUAUAUGCUUGAAUUAAUUCCUUAAGUCAAUGGUUAACACCCAUGACAUAUUUUUAGUUCCUUGAUGAUUAUGUUAUAAUAUGAACAUUUUAAAAGCAUGAUUCUAGCUUCAUUAGCAUGAACUACAUCUAAUGAUAUGUGAUUCCCUAUCACUAUGUUUGGUUCCAAGGAAGAAAAAUCCUCAUGAAAAGGAUUUUCUCAUGAAAAAAAUCCAAGAAAUUAUGAAGGACCAUGAAAAUGAUUCUUGGAAAUCAAACACAACCUCGUGAAAUAUACUUGCAUUAAUAAUUAUAUUAUUUGUUUGUUGUACUAUAUUUAUGAAAUUGAAAUCUUGCUUUUUAUAAUUUAUCUUUAGGUGGAAACCCUAAGGACAAUGAGGAGAAGUUAAUCUCAAGAUGCAAGUGUGAUUCUGAAUGUUGCUAAGGUGGUCUACUCUUGCAUAUGAAGUUAAUCUCAAGAUGCAAGUGAGAUUCUGAAUGUUGCUAAGGUGGUCUACUCUUACAUAUGAUCAGUCUCGCUUAUUUUCAUGACCAUAAGGAAAGAUGCUACAUUGAAAGUGUGAAUUAGGAAUGUUGAAAAAUGAAAACUUGAAUUGAUAUAUGUUUUUGCCUCUAAGAUGUGUGGUUAUAGGCAAUUUUCGUGGGUAUGUAAUUAACCUUAAUGUUGCAUAUGAAGCAUAUCACCCUCUAUAUAUCUUUUUAACUGGUUGGAGCUCUUAUAGAAGGUGAAAGACAAGUGUCACAUAUUUAAGUAUUUCUAAAACUCUCAUGCGGUACUUAGAUAAUUCAAGUCGCUUGAAAUUACUAAGUCCUUUAGGUUGUGAAAAAGGUCUCUAUCACAUUUCGCACAUAUUAUGACCAUCACAUUUUAACUCAAGUGUUUAUUUUAAAAUACUUUUGCAUUAAACUCCUUUCCGAAAGCAUUAAAUUAAUACCAUUCUCUAAUCUUCCACGACUUGGUUUGUCAACUUCGGGUUAUUACCCUCUAGAGCCAACUUUCAACUUAAUCAAUCCAACACAAUUGUUAUUGAUUCAUGGUUAAUUAACAAAUUCUCUAAUGUUAUGAUUGGUUUUUGAAAAAUUGGAGGCAAAAGAAAAUAAAGAGAAAAAGUAGAAGAAAAUGAAAUAUGAAGGAAUAUAAAAAUUUAUAUUUAAAGUUAAUAAAUUAUUCUUAUUUUUUAUUUUAAACCCAUUUCACAUACAUAUUAUUUUAAUAAUAUUUUUUUUUCUAUUUUCCAUGGAGAUGCCAAACAUUAAAAAAUUAUUUUCCUUAAUAUUGUUUGGGAAUUAAACAUAACCUAAUUACUUAUCAUUGUGUAAAUAGCUUAAGAUACCAAUAAUACUAUUGUUGUUGUGAGAAUAGUUUAAGAUACUAAUAAUACUUCUUAAUAGAUACCAUAUACGUGUGUGGAAUAUUCAUGGUUCAAUAUUGUCACUACCUUACAAUUGUGGACUCCAAUUGAAUAUUAUGUGUUAGCCCAAGGGUUCUCCUAAUCGGGUUUUGAUGAUAACAAACCAUGGUUAAGUGACUAAUUGUUUUAAAUGGUAAAGAAUCUCAGGUAUAAAUUCGGAAAUUCAUCCAAUGACCAAAUGGAUACAAGAUCGAGACUAUUGGAAGUCCCUUGAUCAUAGGAAACAAAUGUAAGAUGAAUGCAUGGGUGCACUUAAGGUUUUCAUACCACUUCAUGCAUCUUUGAAAAACUCGGUUUAUCCUUUAAACUUUCAAAUUCAUUAAAACCCAAGUUUUUAUCAAAUGUACCUUAGACAAAAUGUUUUAAAUUGGCAUAUUAAUUCACCUAAAGACCUUGCCUAAGUAUUAGAAAAGAAAUGAAUUUAAAAAGGUUGGCUUUCAGGGCCAAAAGGCUGAACCGGUCGAGGCUAUGACCAACUGGCUCAACCAGUUGGGGAACCGGUCGACCGGUUGCCCUUGUCCGAUCAAGGUUUGGUUGAGGAGUGUCAAAAACACUCUCUCUCAUCCAGUAGCAUUCUCUUCCCGGUUGAGGUUCACCCCCUUCCCUAUCGAGGUCCGAUCGAGGUUCGGUCGAGGCAACGGUAACCUGUCAAAGCAUUUAAUGCCUAACGGUUAGUGAUCGGGUCGACCCUUAGCUCGAUCGGUCGAGGGUACCUUUUGCUGUUUUUGACUCCCGAGCUUAGAAACCUAUAAAUUGAGAGCUCCACUUCAUUUAUGAAUAGAGAGAACACUUGCAAUCAAUUGUCUACCUACAUGUUCUUGAUCAAAAAGCUCUCAUUUCUUUCUUAGUGCAUUAAAUCAUCACUUGCAUACUCCUUAGUGCACCUUUGUGAGUCAUCCUAGCCUUGUUUUGUAUUUGAUCUAUCUUUGAUCUAGGUUGAGUGUUUCAUUCUUGUAAAAACCAAGUGUUUAAGCCUUCAAGAGGUGUGAUUCUUGAAGAGAUUGUGUAAGAGCCCAUUGGAGCCGGAAUCCAAGUGUAAGAAGAUUAGAAACUUGGUUGAAGCUUCAAGUUAGUGGAACCCUCACUCGGUUAGGAGAUUGAGGAGAGUGGACGUAGGCAAGGAAGUGUCGAACCACUAUAAAACCUGAGUUUGAAUUCUCUAACUCUAUCUCUUUACUUUCGUUUAUAUUGUGCUUGAACUUGUUGUGAUUGAAAAGAUUUUUUAAAAACCCAAUUCACCCCCCUCUUGGGUGUUUUUCUUAAUUAAGCAUAACCUUUAUUUUCUCAUUAUGAAUUAAUGAUGCGAUCUUUCUUCAAACAAAUAUUGUCAGUUAAGUUAAAAUGGUUGAAUUAUUUCAAUAGGUCAAACCUCAAUAUUCCAAAUAUUUCUACUUAGAUUAAUUAAGGUCUUCAUGAGUUGACUUUAAUUCUUUGCUUCUAAAUUUCAUCUCUUAAGGUAUCUUAGAUGCUUCCCUGUUUUACUUAGUCUUGUAAUUGAUUAGGAGAUUAUUGUAGACCAAAUGAUAUGCAAAUUAUUUCUUUUAUAGAUGUUUUUCACUUGCUUUAGAGCUAAGAUUUUAUAAACUAGUUUUUGUCUUCUUUUUUUUUUUAACUUUUUAUUUUCUUAUUCUAGAACACCCCAAAUAUAUAUUGUCAUGAACUUUCAAGGAAUAAAGUCAUUUGGUUUUUAUUGUGUUAUUUUCUUUAAAAGAGAAACUAAAAAGGGAAAGAUCCUAGUAUGUAGUUGAAAUAAAGAAGGAUUUUGGUCUAAAAUUAACAUAAAAAAAUAUUUUGACAAUGUGAUUUUAAAUAUCUUUUAGGCGGUGUUUGGCAAACUAACUUAAUAAUUUAAUAUAAAUUAAUAGCUUAAUUUGUUAUUAAGUAGAUUAACCAUGUUUGGUAAAAUAACAUAAUAUUAUAACAUAAAGUUAGUAUUAAGCCAAAAUAAUCAACUUGAUGAUGUUUGAUAAAUUGAUUUAAUGACUUAAUAUGACUUAAUAACUUAAUUUAAGUCAUUGAAAAGAUUAAGCAUGAUUGGUAAAAUAACUUAAUAUUACAAUUUGAAGUAAUAAUCCAAAAGGGUUAAUUUCAUUGAGACCUUAUGAGGUUUGCUGCAAAUGCACCCGACCAUCAUUGGUUUCAAAUUUCAUCAAUUGGCACAUCUAUAAAUUUAUUUCAUUUAUUUUUUGAGAAAUCUCAGGUAAAACUAUUUUAGAUAUGAGUUUUUAACAAUUCACUAAAACCUAAAUUUUAUUCUUUUAAAAAUAAAAUUUAUAUAUAAAAUACAUUUACAAAGGUGCUAACUAAUGAAAUUUAAAACCUACGGUAAACUUGAAGGAGCCUCAAUAAAAUUAACCUAAGUCAAAAUAGUGAACUUAUUUUUAAUCUCAAAUCCUUUUUACCUUAUUUGCCUAAAUUUAUGAUUUAUUUUUUAUAAUAAAUAUUUUAUGAUUGUAUUAUGCACAAUACUUUAAAUAUGAAUAUUUAAUAAAAAAAUUUAUUAUCUAAGAUUAGUGAAAAUAUAGAUAUUAGUUAAAAUUAAUAGGGGUAAAUAGGUCAAUUUGACAACAUAGAAUAAAUCUUAAAUUAACUUUACCAAAUAAUUUUAAUACUUAAGGAAAAAAAAUAAGUAAUAAAUUUUAAGUUAACAACUUAAGAACCAUUUAACUUAAACUCAACUUAAGUUGUUAAGUAAUAAGUGUUAAGUUUUACCAAAUAAAGCUUUUAAAGGAAUUAUUAAAUCAAAAGACAAAUAUUAAAAUAUAAAAAAUGAGAAAGAAAAAAAAUAUAAAAAGGAACAUGCACAAUGCAAAUAGAACAACAGUGCAAAACAUCUAUUUUUAUUUGUUUUUUUUUUAAAUCUCUCUCCCUCACUCUCUCUCUCUCUCCAAUAACAAAUAUUUAAGAAAAAAAUAUAUGAUGGUACAACAAACUUAAGAUAAUUCAUAACAUCAAUAAUAUAAUACAAAAUUGAUAUAUAGGUCUCUUUUCUUUGUCCUUUUACCUUUUCUACCCCCACACAACCUUUUGGUGCCAUAAAUAUAACUAAAAAAUUAUUUUAAUAUUAAGAUGACAAAAACUAAUAUUUAAAAAAUUAUAGAUUUUCAUCUUUCCCAAGAAAAAUUUGAAAACACGAAAUUUAUGUUUUUAGAUUUCCUAUUUUUAAAACUCUAGUUACUGAAAAAUUGAUUUAUGUUUUCCUUUAUAUAGUUUUCAUUUUUGAAAAGUAUUUUCACUUCUUUUGAUUUAAGACAUUUUCAAGAUAAGAAAAAAAGAAGAAGCUAAUUUUAGAAAAUGAAAAUAAAAUAAAGAGAUUGUGGACCCCGCAUUUUUCACAAUGCGUUCCCACUCGAUGGCGAUUCACUUUUUUAUUUAUUUAGUGAAAAAUUUUGAUUUUUAGAAAAAUACUUGAAGCAUAUUUCACAGGAGCGGGUGAGGGCUUGGUUGACUCAUACACCGUUUGAUUAUCCUAUUCGCCCAUACACCAUGAGCCUAGUUGAUUACUUCGUGAGGGCGUCGGAGCCACUGACCCAAUCAGACGGGAUCAUUGGGGGACUUAGUACCACUCAGGAGGCCGAGCUUCAGCACCUCGUUCGCCAACUACAUUUGAGUGAUGGAGCCCCUGGUACUUCAUCAUCUGUGUAGACCGCCCAUGCCUCUCCAGACCGCAUAAGCCUUAUGAUGCUCUAUUUCCCUGAUGAGAUCAACGAGCACGGGACAUUUGCUGAGGUAGGAAAUAUAGUAGAUGGAGCCACCCCACAUGAUGAGUACGUCGAUGAGAUGCUCGCAAUGAUCUUAGGUCAAAUCGAGGAUGUAGUUCAGCCGAGGCUCGCCUCACCGUUCGAUCUUUUCGAGGUGUCCAUCAUCGAGAUUGCUGAGGAGAUCCGGACUUCCCCUGCUCCAGAGUCUGCUGAGGAUGUCAUAGCUAGUGAUGAUUUGUCUGAUGGACAUGUUGGCUUUGUUGAGGGAGCGUCCAACUUUGUAGACCCACCUAUUUCCUUUGAUGUUUUAUAGGGAUUUGUCUCCCGUUUUGACGAUGUUCAUGACUCUUUAUUUAUGGAUUUGAGCAUUUUCGAGUAUCUGCCUAUCUCUUGUGAUAUUAUUUUAUCUGCACCAUCUUCACCCACGUCACAGAUAUUUGACAUUGAUGAUGAGAUUGUGCAACAUGAUUCAGACGAUGACUCAUUCUUCGUUUUCGAUUCGGAUCCCAUUGAUCAGAGAGUUGCACCUGUCCCAAGGGACACGGAGGUUGUUGAUUUCGACACAGCAGACCAACCUAGGGAGUUGAGGAUCGGGUCGGAUUUGUCUACAGAUCAGAAAGAUAGCCUCACCCAACUGCUCAUAUCAUACUUGGACAUUUUCGUAUGAUCCUAUGACGACAUGCUGGGCCUUGAUCCAUUUAUUGUCUAGCAUCGUUUGUCAUUUCUGCCCCAUGCCAGACCGGUUAAGCAGAAGUUGAGACGAUUGCACCCUCGUUGGAGCUUGCAAGUGAAUGAGGAGAUUCAAAAGCAGCUUAGUGUGGGAUUUCUAUCAGUGGUCGAGUACCCGGAGUGGAUGGCCAAUGUAGUCCCUAUUCCCAAAAAGGACUGCAAGGUGAGAGUCUGUACAUUGACAUGCUAAGGAUCCGAGAUCUCAAUAAGGCCAGUCCUAAGGAUGAUUUUCCUCUCCCGUACAUUGACAUGCUAGUUGACAGUACAGUAGGUCACUCGAUGUUGUCCUUUAUGGACAGAUUUUUCGGGUACAGUAAGAUCUUGAUGGCUCCAGAGGAUAUGGAGAAGACGUCCUUCAUUACCGAGUGGGGUACUUAUUGCUAUAGAGUUAUGCCAUUCGAAUUGAAGAACGCAAGAGACACCUAUCAGAGAGCAGCAACCACCCUCUUCCAUGACAUGAUACAUCGGGAUGUCGAGGUUUAUGUAGACGACAUGAUAGUGAAAUCCUGAGAUAGAUCAGAUAAUCUAAUAGCUCUAGAAAGAUUCUUUGAGAGGAUCAGGCAGUUCAGGUUGAGACUAAAACCCAAAAAAUGCACUUUUGGAGUGACUUCUGGGAAACUCUUGGGAUAUAUGGUCAGUGAGAGAGGCAUAGAGGUAGAUCUGGAUAAGAUCAGAGCCAUCCUUGACAUGCCUACACCGAGGACAGAGAGAGAGGUCAGAGGCUUCUUGGGUAGACUUCAGUAUAUCAGCAGAUUCAUUGCUAGAUUGACAGACAUCUGUGAGCCCAUUUUUCGACUCUUGAGGAAGAGACAACCUGUUGUUUGGGAUGAUCAAUGUCAACGCGCGUUUGAGAGGAUCAGAGAGUACUUGUUGUCUCCUCCAGUCUUGGCGCCUCCUACACCAGGUUGUCCUUUACUCCUAUACCUAUCCAUCUCAAACGUAGCAUUGGGUUGCAUGUUGGCUUGCUCGAUGAUUUGGGCAAAGACUGAGCCAUUUAUUAUCUGAGUAAGAGGAUGCUAGAUUAUGAGAUGAGAUAUGCCAUGAUUGAGAGCUAUUGCUUGGCAUUGCUUUGGGUCACUCACCGACUGAGACAUUACAUGACCGAGUAUUUAGUACAUUUGAUAUCCUGUUUAGAUCCUUUAAGAUACUUGUUUGACAGACCCGCCUUGGUUGGUCGCCUCAUGAGAUGGUUGGUACUUCUGACUGAGUUUGACAUCCAUUAUGUCACUCAAAAGUCCAUCAGAGGGAGCAUUAUUGUAGAUCACUUAGCCUCAUUACCAGUUUCUGAUGGUAUAGCUAUUGAUGAUGAUUUUCUAGACAAGGAUGUUGCUGCUGUGACUAGUCUAUCAGGUUGGUGCAUGUACUUUGAUGGUACAACCAACCAUUCUAGAUACGGGAUAGGCGUCUUGUUGAUAUCCCUUAUGGUGAUCACAUUCCCAGAUCUGUUCGUUUGACAUUCUCAGAUCGACAUCCGGCCACGAACAACAUUGUUGAGUAUGAAGCCUAUAUCUUGGGAUUAGAGACAGCCAUUGAGCCUAGGAUUAGACAGAUGGAGGUGUUUGGCGACUCCAAUCUGGUAUUGAGAUAGAUUCAGGGUGAGUGGAAGACUAGAGAUGCGAAGCUUAGGCCCUAUCACUAUGUUUGGUUCCAAGGAAGAAAAAUCCUCAUGAAAAGGAUUUUCUCAUGAAAAAAUCCAAGAAAUUAUGAAGGAGCAUGAAUAUGAUUCUUAGAAAUCAAACACAACCUCGUGAAAUAUACUUGCAUUAAUAAUUAUAUUAUUUGUUUGUUGUACUAUAUUUAUGAAAUUGAAAUCUUGCUUUUUAUAAUUUAUCUUUAGGUGGAAACCCCAAGGACAAUGAGAAGAGGUUAAUUUCAAGAUGCAAGUGAGAUUCUGAAUGUUGCAUUAACAACAUUGUUGAGUAUGAGGCCUAUAUCUUGGGAUUAGAGAUAGCCAUUGAGCCCGGGAUUAGACGGAUGGAGGUGUUUGGCGACUCUAAUCUAGUAUUGAGACAGAUUCAGGGUGAGUGGAAGACUAGAGAUGCGAAGCUUAGGCCCUAUCACUAUGUUUGGUUCCAAGGAAGAAAAAUCCUCAUGAAAAGGAUUUUCUCAUGAAAAAAUCCAAGAAAUUAUGAAGGACCAUGAAAAUGAUUCUUGGAAAUCAAACACAACCUCGUGAAAUAUACUUGCAUUAAUAAUUAUAUUAUUUGUUUGUUGUACUAUAUUUAUGAAAUUGAAAUCUUGCUUUUUAUAAUUUAUCUUUAGGUGGAAACCCCAAGGACAAUGAGAAGAAGUUAAUUUCAAGAUGCAAGUGAGAUUCUAAAUGUUGCUAAGGUGGUCCACUCUUGCAUAUGAAGUUAAUCUCAAGAUGCAAGUGAGAUUCUUAAUGUUGCUAAGGUGGUCUACUCUUACAUAUGAUUAGUCUCGCUAACGUUCAUGACCAUAAGGAAAGAUGCUACAUUGAAAGUGUGAAUUCGGAAUGUUGAAAAAUGAAAACUUGAAUUGAUAUAUGUUUUUGCCUAUAAGAUGUGUGGUUAUAAGCAAUUUUUGUGGGUAUGUAAUUAACCUUAAUGUUGCAUAUGAAGCAUAUCACCCUCUAUAUAUCUUUUUAACUGGUUGGAGCUCUUAUAGAAGGUGAAAGGCAAGUGUCACAGAUUUAAGUAUUUCCGAAACUCUCAUGCGGUACUUAGAUAAUUCAAGUCGCUUGAAAUUACUAAGUCCUUUAGGUUGUGAAAAAGGUCUUUAUCACAUUUCGCACAUAUUAUGACCAUCACAUUUUAACUCAAAUGUUUAUUUUAAAAUACUUUUGCAUUGAACUCCUUUCCAAAAGCAUUAAAUUAAUACCAUUCUCUAAUCUUCCAUGGCUUGGUUUGUCAACUUCAGGUCAUUACCCUCUAGAGCCAACUUUCAACUUAAUCAAUCCAACACAAUUGUUAUUGAUUCAUGGUCAAUUAACAAAUUCUCUAAUGUUAUGAUUGGUUUUUGAAAAUUUUGAUGAAAAGAAAAUAAAGAGAAAAAAAUAUAAGAAAAGGAAAUAUGAAGGAAUAUAAAAAUUUAUAUUUAAAGUUAAUAAAUUAUUCUUAUUUUUUAUUAUAAACCCAUUUCACAUACAUAUAAUUUUAAUAAUAUUUAAUUUUUUUUUCUAUUUCCAUGGAGAUGCCAAACAUUAAAAAAUUAUUUUCCUUAAUAUUGUUUGGGAAUUAAACAUAACCUAAUUACUUAUCAUUGUGCAAAUAGCUUAAGAUACCAAUAAUAUUAUUGUUGUUGUGAGAAUAGUUUAAGAUACUAAUAAUACUUCUUAAUAGAUACCGUAUACGUGUGUGGAAUAUUCAUGGUUCAAUAUUGUCACUACCUUACAAUUGUGGACUCCAAUUGAAUAUUAUGCAUUAAUGAUGUGAUCUUUCUUCAAACAAAUAUUGUCAAUUAAGUUAAAAUGGUUGAAUUAUUUCAAUAGGUCAGACCUCAAUAUUCCAAAUAUUUCUACUUAGAUUUAUUAGGGUCUUCAUGAGUUGACUUUAAUCCUUUGCUUCUAAAUUUCAUCUAUUAAGGUAUCUUAGAUGCUUCCCUGUUUUACUUAGUCUUGUAAUUGAUUAGGAGAUUAUUGUAGACCAAAUGAUAUGCAAAGUAUUUCUUUUAUAGAUGUUUUUUUCACUUGCUUUAGAGCUAAGAUUUUAUAAACUAGUUUUUGUCUCUCUUUUUUUAACUUUUUAUUUUCUUAUUCUAGAACACCCCAAUUAUAUCUUGUCAUGAACUUUCAAGGAAUAAAGUCAUUUGAUUUUGAUUGUGUUAUUUUCUUUAAAAGAGAAACUAAAAAGAGAAAUAUCCUCCUAGUAUGUAGUUGAAAUAAAGGAGGAUUUUGGUCUAAAAUUAACAUAAAAAUAAAAAUAAAAAUUGACAAUGUGAUUUUAAAUAUCUUUUAGGCAGUGUUUGGUAAACUAACUUAAUAAUUUAAUGUAACUUAAUAGCUUAAUUUGUUUUUAAUUAGAUUAACCAUAUUUGGUAAAAUAACAUAAUAUUAUAACAUAAAGUUAGUAUUAAGCCAAAAUAAUCAACUUGAGGAUGUUUGAUAAAUCGAUUUAAUGAUUUAAUAACUUAAUUUAAGUCAUUGAAAAGAUUAAGCAUGGUUGGUAAAAUAACUUAAUAUUACAAUUUAAAGUAAUAAUCCAAAAGGGUUAAUUUCAUUGAAACCCCAUGAGGUUUGCUGCAAAUACACCCGACCAUCAUUGGUUUCAAAUUUCAGCAAUUAGCACACCUAUAAAUUUAUUUCAUUUAUAAAAUUUAUCUUUUGAGAAAUCUCAGGUAAAACUAUUUUAGAUAUGAGUUUUUAAUAAUUCACUAAAACCUAAAUUUUAUUCUCUAAAAAAUAAAAUUUAUAUAUAAAAUACAUUUACAAGGGUGCUAACUGACGAAAUUUGAAACCUACGGUAAACCUGAAGGAGCCUCACUAAAUUUAACCUAAGUCAAAAUAGUGAACUUAUUUUUAAUCUCAAAUCUCACCUUAUUUGCCUACAUUUAUGAUUCAUUUUUUAUAAUAAAUAUUUUAUGAUUGUAUUAUGUACAAUACUUUAAAUAUGAAUAUUUAAUAAUUUUUUUUUAUUAUUUAAGAUUAGUGAAAAUAUAGUUAUUAGUUAAAAUUAAUAGGGGUAAAUAAGUCAAUUUGACAACUUAGAAUAAAUCUUAAAUUAACUUUACCAAAUAAUUUUAAUACUUAAAAAAAAAAGUAAUAAGUUAACAACUUAAGAACUAUUUAACUUAAAGUCAACUUAAGUCAUUAAGUAAUAAGUGUUAAGUUUUACCAAAUAAAGCUUUUAAAGGAAUUAUUAAAUCAAAAGACAAAUAUUAAAAUAUAAAAAAUGAGAAAGAAAAAAAAUAUAAAAAGGAACAUGCACAACGCAAAUAGAACAAUAGUGCAAAACAUCUCUUUUUAUUUGUUUUUUUAAAUCUCUCUCUCUCUCUCUCUCUCUCUCCAACAACAAAUAUUUAAGAAAAAAAUUAUUGGAUGGUACAACAAACUUAAGAUAAUUUAUAACAUCAAUAAUAUAAUACGAAAUUAAUAUAUAGGUCUCUUUUCUUUGUCCUUUUACCUUUUCUACCCCAACACAACCCUUUUGGUGCCAUAAAUAUAACUAAAAAAUUAUUUUAAUAUUAAGAUGACAUAAACUAAUAUUUAAACAAUUAUAGAUUUUCAUCUUUCUUAAGAAAAAUUUGAAAACAAGAAAUUUAUGUUUUCAUAUUUUCUAUUUUUAAAACCCUAGUUACUAAAAAAUUGAUUUAUGUUUUCCUUUUUAUAGUUUUCAUUUUUGAAAAACUAUUUUCACUUCUUUUGAUUUAAGACAUUUUCAAGAUAAGGAAAAAAGAAGAAACUAAUUUUAGAAAAUGAAAAUAAAAUAAAGACAUUAUGAACCUUGUAUUUUUCACGAUGCAUUCCCACUCAAUGACGACUCGCUUUUUUUAUUUGUUUGGUGAAAAAAAAUUGAUUUUUAGAAAAAGACUUGGAGUCACCACUUAUUUAAUUUUUUUUUAAAAGGGAAAAACAACAUAAGAAAGAAAAACCCUAAUUGUGACUCUUGAAGGAAAAACAAGUUUAUAAAAAACCAAAUCUGGGCUCGAGGGUCAGGUUACUUAUUGGGAAGGUACGAUAAAGAUCGUAGCACCCCUCUAAGUCCCUAAAAACAGGUCUCUACUAAUGAGAUGAAACAAACAUGACAAUUGGUAAGUAAAUCAAUGGAUACCAAAAUGAAAUAAUCAAAUAGUAAAGCGAAUCAUGCAUAAGAAUAAGCAAAGUGGGAAUGAGAUCGUACCUUAGGAGCAAUUAAUAAUGCAAUAUUAUGGAAACAAGGUUAGCUCAAGUAUAAAAUCAUCACAAACAUAUCAAAAAGCAAGACAAAGAUCAAACAAUACUCAUUAAGCAUAAUAGCUGACAAUUAGAAGAAAAAACUCAUAUGUAGGGCCCCUCACCAAAGCGCAAUUUAUUUUGCAUGAAUUAAUAUCACAAAUUCCACUAUUUUGGAAUCAUGAAAAAUUCAUUCAUACUUGUUAAAAAAAAAAAUCAAGAAAACGAAAGAUUAUUUGAAAAUCGAAGAAAAUUUGUGAAUUUAAAAAAAUUGAAAAAUGGAAUGGAAUUAAAACUAUUUGAAAGAAAAUUGGAGUUUUGAAUUAUUUGAAAAUUGAGUCUCGAAAAUUAUUUGAAAAUUGGGGUUUUGAAAAUUAAAUUUAAGAAUUGGAAUUUUGAAAAUUAUUUGACAAUUGGAAUUUUGAGAAUUAAAUUUAAGAAUUAGAAUGUUCGAAAUUAAAUUUUGAAAGAAAUUUGAAUUAUUUGAGGAUUUGAGUUUGAAAUUGGAAUUAUUUGAGGAUUAAAGUUUUGAAAAUUACAUUAAGGAAUUGAAACUUUGGAAACUAAAUUUGAAAUAAAUUAGAAUUUUGAAAAUUAUUUGAGAAUUGGAACUAUGAAAAUUAAAUUAUGAAAAUUGGAAUCUUGGAAAUUAUUUGAAGAUGUAGUUUUUAAAAAUAAAUAAAUAAAAUGAUGAUGACAAUAAUAAUAAUAAUAAUAAAUAAAUGUGAAAAUUGGAAUUUUAGAAAUUGGAAAUUAAAUUUGGAAAUCGGAAUUUUGAAGAAUUAUUUAAAGAUGAAAGUUUUAAAAAUAAACAAAUAAACAAAAUAAUAAUAAUAACGAAAAUAAUGAUGAUUAAAUAAAUAAAUGUGAAAAUUGGAAUUUUGGAAAUUGAAAAUUAAAUUCGGAAAUUGGAAAAUUGGAAUUUCAGAAAUUGAGAAUUAAAUUUGGAAAUUGGAAUUUUGAAGAAUUAUUUAAAGAUGAAAGUUUUAAAAAUAAAUAAAUAAACAAAUAAACAAAAUAAUAAUAAUAACGAAAAUAAUGAUGAUUAAAUAAAUAAAUGUGAAAAUUGGAAUUUUUGAAAUUGAAAAUUGAAUUCGGAAAUUGGAAAAUUGGAAUUUCAGAAAUUGAAAAUUAAAUUUAGAAAUUGGAAUUUUGAAGAAUUAUUUAAAGAUGAAAGUUUUAAAAAUAAAUAAAUAAACAAAAUGAUAAUAAUAACGAAAAUAAUGAUGAUUAAAUAAACAAAUGUGAAAAUUGGAAUUUUGGAAAUUAAAAAAUAAAUUCGGAAAUUUGAAAAUUGGAAUUUCAGAAAUUGAGAAUUAAAUUUGGAAAUCGGAAUUUUUUGAAAUUUUAUUUGAAUAUGGUAUUUCGAAAAAUUAAAUUUUGAAUAUUGAAAUCUGGAAAAUUAUUUUGAGGAAUUAUUUUAAAAAGUAAAUUUGAGAAUAGAAUUUUGGAAUAUUAAAUUUAAAAAAUCGGAAUGUUAGAAAAUUAUUUUGAUAAUGGAAUUUCAGAAAACUAAAUUUCGAAAAUUGGAAUGUUAAAAAAUUAUUCCAAUAUCAAAAUGUGAAGAAAUAAUAAAGAAAGAUGGGUUAUGGUGAUUCUUAGAGCAAAAUUUAUCCAUGUGUUCAAGGUGACAACUAACCCAUUCCAUGUGCUGCCAGCACACCAAAGAAUACCACAAGCCUAUUUCCCAUAUUACAAUAAUGUCAUACAAACCCAUUUUCCAUGUACUACUUGAGAGCAUCACAAACCCAUUUUUUUACAUGAAAAACAAACACCACAUACUACCACCUCUCCACCCAAUCGCCAUUCUCACUACCAUGCACAUGGAGCUUCCAUUUGUUUCAAACUUCUCCCACACCCUCCAUAUUUCUGCACCCCUAUUCCUACCACAUGUUGCCUCUGUCAAGAAGUUAACAACUUGUUUAACAACUUAACAAGUUGUUUAAGUAGUUAACAGUCUGGUUGUUGUAACUAAUUAGAAAGUGGUUAAUAACUGUUUUUUAGAUUCUUGUAUAUAAGAAACAGAGGACCUAACAGUGGGUAGUUUUGCAGUAGCUCAAUUUCAGUUUUUCAUCUUUCUGGUUUUCUCUCAAACAGAUGCUCUGCACAUCUCAUUCUUCAUAUCUCUGAGUUCUUUCUUGGUAUCAGAGCCACAAACUAACAUAUGCAAAUCCUUUUCCAUGGCAUCAAAAGGAUCAGCUUCUUCCACGGAUCAUCCUAACUCCAGUUUUGCUCAUCAUACAAUGCCAUAAUUGAAUCAAGCAUUCACGGUAAGACUCGAUCAAUCAAAUUACUUACUGUGGCGAACUCAGAUGCUGAACAUCAUCAUUGCAAAUGGUCUUGAAGAAAUGAUCCAUGGCAAAAUCCCUGCUCCUUCACGAUUUCUUGGAGAUUCAGAGAACAUAAAUUCAGAAUACAGUAUAUGGCAACGUCAGAAUCGCUUAGUAAUGUGUUGGAUCUAUUCUUCUUUGACAGAAGGUGUGAUGGCACAGAUUAUCGACCUUGAUACUGCAUCAGAAAUCUGGACUGCUCUAGAGAAAAUUUUCUCAGCAGCUUCAAAGGCUCGUAUCAUGCAGUUUCGUUUCCAAUUGUAGAUAACAAAGAAAGGAGGAUUGAGUAUGAUGGAAUAUCUACUCAAAAUCAAGUCCAUUGUAGAUAACCUGCUAGCAAUUAGAGAAAACAUUACAGAGCAAGACCGAAUUCUCUAUUUACUUGCAAGACUCGGAGCAGAGUACAAUUCGUUUGUCAUUACAGUUACCUCUGGGCAUGAACCAUUAAGCCUAGAAGAAAUUCACAGCAUGCUCUUGACUCAUGAAAAUCGAUUGGAACAACAACACACAACAGAAGAAACAAAUCUCCUGCAAGCAAAUAUUACAACAAUGAACAUUCAAGGACACAACAAAAAAAAUCAAAAGUCUGGUCAAUUCAAGACUCAAGGUAGAGGCAAUCAGAAUCAACAACAAUUUAAUCAUCAGAACUUUGGUAGAGGCCGUGGGAGAGGCCACUAUAACAACAAUGGUGGAAAUUUUGGACAUGGUCCAGGAAGAGGUAGCUUUAACAACCAUUCUUACUCAUCUGGAAACUUCAAUAAUGUUUCUGGUGGCAGCAAUGGAAAACCACAGUGCCAAGUAUGUGGUAAAUAUGGUCACAUUGCAAUUAAUUGCUAUCAUAGAUUUGAUCAAACUUAUCAACCAACAAUGAGCAAUCAUCUUGCUGCAAUGGUUGCAACUCCGUCCACUGUUGGAGAUGAAAGCUGGUACAUGGAUACCGGAGCUACGCAUCACCUAACUCCAAAUCUCAACAAAUUGAAUUCACAUACUCCAUUUGCUGGUUCAGACAAAGUCAUGGUUGGAAAUGGUAAUCGUUUAAAUAUCUCAAAUAUUGGACACUCCACUAUUUCUUCAACUUCUCGGUCUUUAAAUCUAAAAAAUAUUUUACAUGUUCCACAACUUACAACCAAUCUGAUAAGUGUGAAUAGGUUGUGUACUGACAAUAAUGUCACUGUGGAAUUCUUUACUAAUGGAUUUGUGGUGAAGGAUUAAGCUUUGAAGAAGGCUCUUCUCCAAGGCAACCUUAACUAUGGCUUAUACAAACUGUCGUCUUCAGCACCUAGUAGAAGAUAUCAAGAUCCUGAUGAUAAUAAACUUGCUGGAAGAACAAGCUUGACAACUGAGGUCCCAUGUAUGUCAUCUACAUUACAACUUUCCAAUAAGGCAGAUCUAUGGCAUUUCAGGUUAGGCCAUCUUGCACGUAAAAUAGUCAAUAAAGUUCUGAGUGCUUGUAGCUUGCCCCUAGAACAUUGGACAGGUGUUUGUGAACCUUGUCAAAUGGCAAAGAGCCAUCGCCUACCUUUUACUUUGUCUGAAUCCAGAGCAUCUCAGCCUUUUGCUCUUGUACAUUCUGAUCUAUGGGGUCCUGCUCCUGUUGUUGGUACUAAUGGUGCAAGAUACUUUGUGCUCUUUGUGGAUGAUCAUACAAGAUUUUCUUGGUUGUAUCUACUAGCUUCUAAAGAUCAAGCUAUCUCUGCAUUUUUGCAAUUUAAAGUGAUGAUUGAGACUCAAUUUGAUACUAAAGUUAGAAUGCUUCAAACUGAUUGGGGAGGAGAGUUUCAAGCCUUUACUAAUACUUUGUGUAAGUUUGGGAUUCUGCAUAGAGUAUCUUGUCCAUCCACUUCUCAACAAAAUGGCCAUGUGGAGAGAAAACAUAGACAUGUGGUUGAAGUAGGCCUUUCCUUGCUUGCUCAUGCUUCCAUUCCUCUUAAAUAUUGGCCUUUUGCCUUCCAAUCUGCUUUAUAUUUGAUUAAUAGACUUCCUUCCUCUGUGCUGAACUUUUCUUCUCCAUAUAAGACUCUUUACCAUUGUCUACCAAAUUAUUCUUUUCUUCGUGUUUAUGGUUGCACUGGUUAUCCUUUUCUUCGCCCUUUUAAUCGCCAUAAAUUUGCAUAUCGAUUAGUUAAAUGCACCUUUAUUGGCUACAACUCUAAGCAUAAAGGAUAUCUCUGUUUAAACAUGUCCAAUGGAAAAAUACAUAUAUUACGACAUGUUAUUUUUUAUGAACUAGAUUUCCCGUUUGCUAAGCCCUCUACAGUUUAGCCUCCUUGUCGUGUUUCCCCCACUCAUUGUGCCAUUCCUUUAGCAGCACCAAUCACUCCAAUAUCUUCCCUCUUGCCUUCCUCAUCCAGUCCAUCUUCAGAGUUGGUUCCAAUCUCUGAUACUAGUGUGUCAAUUUCCUCUUCUGAGGUUGCACCUAUUCCAACAGCUCAACCUUCUUCCUCUCAUGUUCCUUCUCCUUGUCAUCCCAUGACAACGCGUGCCAAAAAUGGCAUCUUCAAGCCUAAGAUAUUUGUGUCUCCUACUGAGACUAUUUUUCAUCCACUUUGUGAACCGAAUUCUUUCAAGGAAGCUGUUAAAGUUCCUGAAUGGCAGCAAGCUAUGCACCUUGAAUUUGAAGCUCUCAUGAGCAAUAAAACAUGGGUCUUGGUCCCUCCUCCACCUAAUCAGAAUAUUAUUGGAUGUCGCUGGGUUUAUAAAUUGAAGUAUAAACCUGAUGGAACUGUUGAACGCUAUAAGGCACGUUUGGUGGCGAAAGGAUUUCAUCAAACUCCCGGUUUUGACUACUUUGAAACCUUCAGUCCCGUGGUUAAACCCACUACUAUUCGUGUGGUUCUCUCUUUGGCAUUAAGUAAAAACUGGUCUAUCAGACAACUUGAUGUUCAUAAUGCAUUUCUUAAUGGUGAUUUAUCUGAGCAAGUUUUUAUGACACAACCCCCAAGCUUUGUGGAUCCCUCUAAGCCCAACUUUGUUUGUAAACUUACCAAGGCAUUGUAUGGUUUGAAGCAAGCUCCACGUGCUUGGUUCACCAAACUCAGCUCCGCCUUAGUUAAAUGGGGUUUUUCCAUGUCACAAGCAGAUACAUCAAUGUUUGUUUACUGUAACAAUUCUGCCAUGCUUGUUGUCUUGGUUUAUGUUGAUGAUAUUAUUGUCACUGGCUCAAGUUCCUUGCUCAUUGAACAACUUAUAUCCUCCUUAAACUCUUGCUUUGCUCUCAAGGAUCUUGGUCCUCUCAACUUUUUUCUUGGAAUAGAGGUGCUCCAUUCUGGAUCUUCUUUGCAUUUAAGUCAAGCUAAAUAUAUCUGUGAUCUUCUUCAACGUGCUGGUUUGUCUGAAUCAAAGUCCAUGGCUUCCCCAAUGGCUGCUGGUCCUGUUCUCUCCAUAGCUGAUGGCACCAGAUUAGAAGAUCCCACCUUGUACCGGAGUCUUAUGGGUGCCCUGCAGUAUAAGCAAUCCAACCUCUACUCAUCUUCAAGCCGUGAAACGUGUCCUUUGUUAUCUCAAAGGUUCAUUGUUUUAUGGGCUUUCCUUCCAACCAUCUUCCUUCCUUGAUCUUAUUGCCUAUACAGCUGAUGAUAGACGUAGCACCAGUGGCUACUGCAUAUUUUUUGGAGGCAAUCUAGUCUCUUGGUUAGCCUCUAAACAAAAGGUGAUUUCUCGCUCCAGUACUGAAUCCGAAUAUAGGGGCUUGGCUAACGCAGCAGCUGAACUCACUUGGAUCCAGUCUCUGCUUAAAGAACUCUUUGUUCCCCUGUUUCAGCCUCCUGUUCUUUAUUGUGAUAAUCUCAGCACUACUUAUUUAGCUGCAAAUCCUAUCCUUCAUUAUUGGGCUAAACAUGUGGAAAUUGAUUAUCAUUUUGUUCGUGAACGAGUCUUGCAAAAAACUCUUGAUGUUCGAUUUCUCCCAUCUGAAGAUCAAGUUGCUGAUAUCUUGACCAAAGCUCUUUCAACUCAACGUUUUCUUCAUCUCCGAAGCAAGCUCACAGUUCUUUCUCGCCCUGUGUGCUUGAGGGGGGAUGUCAAGAAGUUAACAGCUUGUUUAACAACUUAACAA
Molecule: long non-coding RNA, 24614 nt
Filed under: Vitis vinifera (wine grape)
Lineage: Eukaryota; Viridiplantae; Streptophyta; Magnoliopsida; Vitales; Vitaceae
Description: long non-coding RNA (VVIN_LNC003861)
Source: RNAcentral